Molecule: transfer RNA, 71 nt
Filed under: Dopasia gracilis (Burmese glass lizard)
Lineage: Eukaryota; Metazoa; Chordata; Lepidosauria; Squamata; Anguidae
Description: tRNA-Tyr
Rfam family: tRNA
About the family: Transfer RNA (tRNA) molecules are approximately 80 nucleotides in length. Their secondary structure includes four short double-helical elements and three loops (D, anti-codon, and T loops). Further hydrogen bonds mediate the characteristic L-shaped molecular structure. tRNAs have two regions of fundamental functional importance: the anti-codon, which is responsible for specific mRNA codon recognition, and the 3' end, to which the tRNAs corresponding amino acid is attached (by aminoacyl-tRNA synthetases). tRNAs cope with the degeneracy of the genetic code in two manners: having more than one tRNA (with a specific anti-codon) for a particular amino acid; and 'wobble' base-pairing, i.e. permitting non-standard base-pairing at the 3rd anti-codon position.
Source: RNAcentral
GGUAAGAUGGCCGAGUAUUUAGGCGGUAGGCUGUAGUCCUAUUAACAGAGGUUUCAUUCCUCUUCCUAUCA